GCUCAGUUGGUGGAACACGUGACUCUUGAUCUCAGGGUUGUGAGUUUGAGCCUCACAUUGAGCA
RNAcentral lists this transfer RNA (64 nucleotides) under Felis catus (domestic cat). It matches the Rfam family "tRNA". Rfam says of the family: Transfer RNA (tRNA) molecules are approximately 80 nucleotides in length. Lineage: Eukaryota; Metazoa; Chordata; Mammalia; Carnivora; Felidae. The record is from Rfam by way of RNAcentral.